Armillaria borealis is the source of this 79-nucleotide non-coding RNA. Lineage: Eukaryota; Fungi; Basidiomycota; Agaricomycetes; Agaricales; Physalacriaceae. The record is from the annotation of a GenBank genome assembly.
UCGGAUAUGGUGUAACGGCUAACAUUGCCGCCUCUCAAGUAUUUCGCGGCAGCUCAGGGUUCGAUUCCCCGUAUCCGAA